This 467-nucleotide ribosomal RNA is filed under the name uncultured bacterium. Its description in RNAcentral is "partial 16S ribosomal RNA". It matches the Rfam family "Bacterial small subunit ribosomal RNA", at positions 28 to 507 of the family's 1533-position model. The record is from RNAcentral.
GACGAACGCUGGCGGCGUGCUUAACACAUGCAAGUCGAACGGAAAGGCCUCUUUCGGGGGGUACUCGAGUGGCGAACGGGUGAGUAACACGUGAGUAACCUGCCCUUGACUUUGGGAUAACUUCAGGAAACUGGGGCUAAUACCGGAUAGGAGCUCCUGCUGCAUGGUGGGGGUUGGAAAGUUUCGGCGGUUGGGGAUGGACUCGCGGCUUAUCAGCUUGUUGGUGGGGUAGUGGCUUACCAAGGCUUUGACGGGUAGCCGGCCUGAGAGGGUGACCGGCCACAUUGGGACUGAGAUACGGCCCAGACUCCUACGGGAGGCAGCAGUGGGGAAUAUUGCACAAUGGGUGGAAGCCUGAUGCAGCAACGCCGUGGGCGGGAGGACGGCCUUCGGGUUGUAAACCGCUUUCGCUCACGACGAAGCUUUGUGUGACGGUAGUGGGUAAAGAAGCACCGGCUAACUACGUG